Armigeres subalbatus is the source of this 1098-nucleotide long non-coding RNA. RefSeq lists it as uncharacterized. The transcript has 3 exons. NCBI's taxonomy places the organism in Eukaryota, Metazoa, Arthropoda, Insecta, Diptera, Culicidae. The record is from RefSeq and is a predicted model, not a curated record.
AUUGUAAGCAUUAUUUGCCAUAUUAAGGAAUCUCAGAUAAAAUAGUUAUAUUUACAGUUUAGAGAAAGUGUAGUGGAUGAAAGCUAUUUUAUUGGCCCUGUGCGACAAGUUUUUACACGAAAAAUCGAACCAGUGUAUGGUUAUUGUAAAAAUCGAAACUUUGUGCUGUACCGGAGUAUAGCACGUGAAAAAAUCCCUCGAGGCCCAGGACACUAUCCUUCAAGAGAAGGUGCUAGUGUAGGGCGUAGGAAAUAGCGACUAGCCACGCUGUUUCUAGGGACCGGUCAGAAGCCCGGCGGCUUGUAGGCCCGCCUCGUCGUCGAGCCCGCAUCGGACCCUCGCGCGCCCUGGGCCAUAGGUAAUCCACGCCUCCAGGGAGAUUCGACCGUAUUUUAUCGAAUCGCCCGGACAUUGGCCUCGAAGGGAACCCGGAGAUCGAGAACGGUAUCGACCACAACCACGAACCACGAAUUUGGGUUACGGCACCGAAGCCGCUGCUAUCAACGGCCACUGGAGGCGCUGAUGAGGACUCGCUAUCACGUCACUGCGCAGAAACUGACAGCAUAACCAGCGACCGAUCUCGCCUCGCCACCCUGCUAUCAACCACGUCGAGGUUGAUCUGUCGUCCAAGCUGGUGGAUUCGGUAGCGUAAUACACCGUCGCAUGAUUCCUGAGUCGCAAGAGAGAGAGAUCAGCCUCUGAUAGCCGUCGUCGAGCCCGUGGGCACCAGGUGCUGCAAACAGGUCAGAUCAUUUCAAUUUUUCCAACAUUCGUUCGCAAAGUACAUUGAUUGUAAGAAGAGACAUAGCCAGGUCAAAGAGCGUGCACGCAGUAGUUAGAAGCAUGUUAGGUUUACGGAACUGAGAAAUAUGAAUAUAGAUAUGAACUAAAGCACAAUAGAGCCAAAUUAGAGUCGAAAGAAAAAGUAUUCUUGGUCUUGGUUAAUCGGAUUUUUCGUCAAAUAAUCGCCCGUUGUUAUCCUUUUUGAAGGAGUGAGAUUGAGACUAACAGUUGUUACGCGAUUGGUUCGGGAUUGAUCUUUAUAGCAUUAGGACUCGCCUUGAGGAGUCUUGCCGGGAAAACUCGUGCUGAUCCACA